GGCAUGCAUAUUUGUGGUAUGACAAGGUGAAAGCUCACAAAAUAUUUAAAAACCAUAUUGUCAGGAAAGCAUUGUUUAAUGUCUGGAUAAGAUACAAAGACUUAUUGGAGAACAAAACCCCAAGGUGGCUAUCACCAAUGGAGGCAAAGGCCCUAAAAAAGUCCAAUAUGGAGGCCAAGUGGCCAAAAUAUUGGGAGAUCUUGGAACAAGAAGGAGAUAAAUUCAAAUUGCAGAGUUUUGAAAAAUUAAAAGACAGAGUGCGAGACUGGUUGCAUUACUACCAAAUAAGAGAGGUUUAUAAUUUGGAUAGAAAAAUUGGCUUCCAGGUGGAAAAAUCAAAGUUGGAAACAGAACUGCUAGAUUCCAAAACUAAAACACUUUCAAGAAUGUAUAACUUGCUGCUAAAAUGGAAUACUCAGGAUGAAACGGUAAAAUCUGCUAUGAUUAAAUGGGCACAGGAUAUUGGACAUAACAUUAUGUUUGCUGACUGGGAAUGGUUAUGGACCACAGGUACGAAGUUCACAGCAUGUAAUGCUUUAAAAGAGAAUAUUAUGAAAAUGGUGUACAGGUGGUACAUGACCCCAGUUAAGCUUGCAAAAAUCUACCAUUUGCCCGAUAAUAAAUGUUGGAAAUGUAAGGAAACUGAAGGUACAUUCUUUCACCUUUGGUGGACGUGCCCAAAGAUUAAGGCCUUCUGGGAAAUGAUAUAUAAUGAGUUGAAAAAGGUAUUUAAGUAUACCUUCUUAAAGAAACCAGAGGCCUUCCUCUUGGGCAUUGUUGGCCAAUUGGUGCCAAAGAAAGAUAGAACUUUCUUUAUGUAUGCAACAGCAGCAGCAAGAAUACUCAUCGCAAAGUAUUGGAAGACACAAGACUUACCCACUCUGGAAGAAUGGCAGAUGAAGGUAAUCGAAUAUAUGGAACUGGCGGAGAUGACUGGCAGAAUCCGUGACCAGGGAGAAGAGUCGGUGGAAGAAGAUUGGAAGAAAUUUAAAGUCUAUCUACAGAAAUACUAUAAAAUCAAUGAAUGUUAAAUUGAAGUCUGAUUGAAAAUAACUGGUAUUGGCAAAAGCCUUGGGAUUAAGAGUAUGGAAUAUUUGACUGAUAAGGUUGUAAAAAUAUUUAUAUAUAAAUAGAUUAAGUUUUCUGAGUUAAGAUAAUGAAAGGAGGGUAAGGAUUUGCUGAAAGGAGUUCUUAAAUGGAAAUACAAGCGGGGAGGUGCGGGGAAGUCAAAGAACCAGGUAAAGAUAAGAAGGAUAUAUGAAAGUAUAAUAUUCUUUGAAUUUCUUUGUCUCUUUUUCCUUUUCUCCUUUUUCUCUUUUUGUUAUGGAUACUGUUAUUUCUGUUUGUUUUUUGUCAUGGUUAUUGUUGUUUUUUGUUUGUUGAACUUUUGUAAUUUUGUAUUUUUUUGGAAAUUUUUUUUGUAAAACCAAUAAAUAUU
Molecule: non-coding RNA, 1438 nt
Organism: Podarcis lilfordi (Lilford's wall lizard)
Lineage: Eukaryota; Metazoa; Chordata; Lepidosauria; Squamata; Lacertidae
Source: the annotation of a GenBank genome assembly